CCACCCCCGCUCGGCCUCCCAAAGUGGUGGGACGACAGAUGUGAGCCCCCGCGUCUGGCCAACACGUGGUAAUCUGAAGGGACCACCACAGUAUAUGCGGCCCGCCUUCCACCGAAACGUCACGAGGCCCGCGACUCAAAGGCGUGCUCCAUUGUUACCGAUAGCCCCAAACUCGCCCUUCCACGCCAGGCCUCGAGGUGCUCUGUGGACCACGGCGGGGCCCGUGGCCCUCGCGAGGGAGGGAAGGCGCUCCAGGUUCCCGCGAUUCCCCCGGAAAGUGAAACUGCAGAGGCGCCACGUGGACACCGGCGGUCAGACGCGACCCCAGGCCGCACCGGCCCCAAAGGAAACUAGCGGGAGUCCAUGGGGCGGGAGCGCGAGUCCGCGGUGGUGGCUGGGCGCUCAGUGAAGACGCCAUUCCGCCACGAAAAUGCCCGCGACGCCGCUCCGCGGUGGCGCGAGGCGGGCUGGCCGGACCUGCGAAGCCCCUCGAGCUCGGCGCCGGCUGGCUGCGGCCUUGCUCUGCCUCCCCGGCCUGGCCGCGAGGCUCCCGAAAGCCGGGAUCCGCGAGCACUGGGGCCGACCCGACUCUCUCGGGCCUCAGACGGCGUGGGCCGUGGAGAACUCCGGUGCGGCCUCUUUCCCGGAAGUCCCCCAGUGGGCUCCGGCCGCUCUGGCCCGCGCGCGCCCGGCUCGCUGGUGCCCUGGGCGGCGCCCGGCCGCUGGCGCUUCUCCGGCGCUAGGGGGCGCGCGGCCGCGGUGGAGCCGCACUGGGCCGCGGCGGCCGCUCGACUGCUCUGAGGCGCGGUCCGGACGCGCACCGCCCCCGCCCGCGUUCCCCCGGCAACCUGCGGCCGCCGCCAUGGACGCGCUGUUGGGCACAGGGCCUCGCCGGGCUCGCGGCUGCCUGGGCGCGGCUGGACCCAGGUCUUCAGGCCGCGCGGCGCGGACCCCGGCGGCGCCCUGGGCGCGCUUCUCCGCCUGGCUGGAGUGCGUGUGCGUGGUCACCUUCGACCUGGAGCUGGGCCAGGCGCUGGAGCUGGUGUAUCCAAAUGACUUCCGGCUCACAGACAAGGAGAAAAGCAGCAUCUGCUACCUGUCUUUUCCCGACUCACACUCAGGCUGCCUCGGAGACACUCAGUUCAGCUUCCGCAUGCGCCAGUGUGGAGGGCAGAGGAGCCCCUGGCAUGCUGACGAUAGGCACUACAACAGCAGGGCCCCCAUGGCACUGCAGAGGGAGCCGGCGCACUACUUCGGCUAUGUGUACUUCAGACAGGUGAAGGACCGCUCCGUGAAGAGGGGCUACUUCCAGAAGUCUUUGGUGCUGGUGUCCCGCCUGCCCUUUGUCCGGCUGUUCCAGGCACUGCUAAGCCUCAUCGCCCCUGAGUACUUUGACAAGCUGGCGCCCUGCCUGGAAGCAGUGUGCAGUGAGAUCGACCAGUGGCCGGCGCCUGCACCUGGGCAGACCCUGAACCUACCUGUCAUGGGCGUUGUUGUCCAGGUGCGCAUCCCAUCCAGGGUGGACAAGUCCGAGUCCAGUCCUCCAAAGCAGUGUGAUCAAGAGAACCUGCUUCCAGCCCCAAUGGUUCUUGCUAGCGUCCAUGAGCUGGACCUGUUCAGGUGCUUCCGGCCUGUGCUGACUCACGUGCAGACACUGUGGGAGCUUGUGCUCCUCGGGGAGCCCCUGCUGGUCCUGGCACCCUCGCCCGACGUGUCCUCAGAGAUGGUGCUGGCCUUGACCAGCUGCCUGCAGCCCCUCAGGUUCUGCUGCGACUUCCGUCCCUACUUCACCAUCCAUGACAGCGAGUUCAAGGAGUUCACCACACGCACGCAGGCCCCCACUGGCCCCACAUCCUCCGAGUCGGGGAGCCCAAGAUGUCAGGAGACCUUCCUAAGCAAGUCAAGCUGAAAAAGCCUUCAAGGUUGAAGACCCUGGACACUAAGCCAGGCCUCUACACCGCAUACACAGCCCACCUCCACCGAGACAAGGCACUGCUUAAACGGCUGCUCAAGGGCGUGCAGAAGAAGCGGCCGUCAGAUGUGCAAAGCGCCCUGCUGCGGCGGCACCUCCUGGAGCUCACCCAGAGCUUCAUCAUCC
Molecule: non-coding RNA, 2098 nt
Organism: Chlorocebus sabaeus (green monkey)
Lineage: Eukaryota; Metazoa; Chordata; Mammalia; Primates; Cercopithecidae
Source: RefSeq, a predicted model, not a curated record